AUGCGGCAGCCAUCGGCCCAGAUUCCGGCUGGGGCCUGUCUUUGGGGGAAAGCGCUAGCAUCCCAGAGUACGCGAAUCCAGAGCCGGUCCGCGGGCCAGAGGCUGAGGCUGGACUGCCUGCUGAUUUCCAGUGUUCACCCGGACUGGCCGCGAAGAGCAGGGUUCCCGUGUCCACCCCGCGCAAAGCUCUGGACUCGGAGCUCAAGGAGCCUUCGCUGCAGACCGCUUACCCAAGGCGGGACGGGGGGCGCGCGCGCAGCCCAGCGCGAGCUUUCAGGGCCGAGGCGCGCGCAGGCGCGGCCGGUGUCGCCUAGCAACCAAGAGCAACAGUGGCCUCGGAGGCGCGCGCGGACGGCGGCGGGUGCGGUUCUCCGGGCGCGAGGGGCCGCCGCUCGGCGGGAUCCGCCGGCAGUUACUCAAAGCCACUGUCCUGAAAUGGGAAAAAAAUCAGUUCCUGAGUGAAAAUCAGAUGAUGUACAGUAAUUUUUUUUUUUUAAUUUUUUUUCAAUGUUUAUUUAUUUUUGGGACAGAGAGAGACAGAGCAUGAACGGGGGAGGGGCAGAGAGAGAGGGAGACACAGAAUCGGAAACAGGCUCCAGGCUCUGAGCCAUCAGCCCAGAGCCCGACGCGGGGCUCGAACUCACGGACCGCAAGACCGUGACCUGGCUGAAGUCGGACGCUUAACCGACUGCGCCACCCAGGCGCCCCGAUGUACAGUAAUUUAAUGCAAGUAUAAUUCAGUUCUUCUUAAACAUUAUUCAUAAGGAGUUCUUCUGUAAAUCAAAGGCUGCUCUACCUUGGAGUCGAUUACGAAGCACUCUAAAAUUUCUUUUUCCUAGAGAUUAAUCGCAAGAUUUGCAUUUGUCCAGAAUGGUUUCUGUCCAUCUGCCUGGAAUAUCAUAAACCCAAAAUCUAGGGUCUGUGUGCUUUUCAAACACCUAUGAAAGAUGUUUGAGUUUUGAAAAAAGUAUUGCCUCUAAAAUCUGAAAAGAAACUUGAAAAAUUAAUGGAAAUGUUUUAAUAUUAAAUUAUAUUUGAGAACAGUUUUCUCAUUUUGCAAGAAGUUUGAGGCAUACAACCUGCUGAAUAAUUUCAAAUGCUUGAUUUCAAAACUUUAUGUGAUGAAAAUCGUAUUUAAUGGGGAAUGUGGGUACAUUUUAAUGUUUUAAUAUACUGGAUGUGAGGGAGGGCAUCACAGUGUCAGCUUGCCCGGACCCUCAAAGAUCUUGAAAUUUUUGUGACCUGAACUGAGGGAUCUGGAUGUCUUUCAGAAGCCCCUAGGAGCUUCUAUGAACAUGUGGCGUUUUAAAACAUGUGAUAAAUUCUGGUUAGUGCCUCUAGUGCUAAGAGUUGCCUUUGUCCCUUGAGACACCAUCUGAACCAAUCCUGACAUUGUAGAUUCUCACCAAAGAUUUUUGACUUCCCAGAAUUUUCUGGAAACUGUACUAAUUUCCCCGAGACAGGUUUGUAGCAUCUGAGAUUGCCCAAAUGCCAAACAUAACCUCCCAUUGGAGAAAACUCGAAAGGUUUCUAGAGUUGUUUAUUCUAACCGUCCCCAACAUCUUGGAAAGUCCUCUGUACCCAGAUGGGGUUACUGCUCUGUGGUUUAUCAGCUGUCAGUACCAAUCCUUUGACUUUUUGUCUGCACAGUUAUGGACCUACGAGGGCAGGUAGAAACAGGUCUUGUAAGCAGUAACCCCAACUUCUCCAGAAUACAUCUCUUCAGAUUCUCAAUUACUUUUUUUUUUUUUUUUAUUGAGCUAUGGAUUAUAUUAGAGAGAACUUCUGGUUAUCUGGGAAAAUGACACCAACGUUCAUUUGGAGUUGCCUUGUUUUGGGUAUCAGUCACAAAGUCAUACUCCCAGGAAAAACAGAGUUCAUGAUUUUUAUGCAUAUCGAAUAGCUACCAUGUACCAGAUACUGUUGGGAUAGAUCAGUGCAGGAAAGCAGACAAAAAUCCACCCCUUUGUGGCAGAACAUUCUUGGAGCUCUCAAAAGUAAAUUGGAUUUAGUCUCCUAGGCACCCCAUCAGUGAGCUAUAUGCAUGAUAGACUGUUUCCCGUUAUGUAAGUGAAAGUUAUGCCAUGGAUGUGUUCUCUUCCUUAAAAGCUGGAAGCCAGGACUGAUGCCCAACAAUCUUAACAGUAAGUUCCUUAAAAACUGUGGCGUUUGAAAUAAGACUGCAGGUAACAUAUUUGUACAUGUACCACCAUUUCUACCUAUAUCACAUCAUCUCUUUUUUAGGUAAAAUUUAUUAUUUUUUUUUUAAUUUAUUUUUUUUUCAACGUUUAUUUAUUUUUGGGACAGAGAGAGACAGAGCAUGAAUGGGGGAGGGGCAUAGAGAGAGGGAGACACAGAAUCGGAAGCAGGCUCCAGGCUCUGAGCCAUCAGCCCAGAGCCUGACGCGGGGCUCGAACUCACGGACCGUGAGAUCGUGACCUGGCUGAAGUCGGACGCUUAACCGACUGCGCCACCCAGGCGCCCCAUGGUAAAAUUUAAAUGAGGAAAUAAAUCUCCUUCGAAGGGCA
RNAcentral lists this long non-coding RNA (2528 nucleotides) under Felis catus (domestic cat). RNAcentral's name for it is "lncRNA (ENSFCAG00000050750.1)". The record is from RNAcentral. Lineage: Eukaryota; Metazoa; Chordata; Mammalia; Carnivora; Felidae.